UACGGAGGAUCCUAGCGUUGUCCGGAUUUAUUGGGUUUAAAGGGUGCGUAGGCGGACUACUAAGUCAGGGGUGAAAGCCGGCAGCUUAACUGUCGAAUUGCCUUUGAAACUGGUAGUCUUGAAUAUAGUUGAGGUGGGCGGAAUGUGACAUGUAGCGGUGAAAUGCUUAGAUAUGUUACAGAACACCGAUUGCGAAGGCAGCUCACUAAGCUAUCAUUGACGCUGAGGCACGAAAGCGUGGGGAUCAAACAGG
RNAcentral lists this ribosomal RNA (253 nucleotides) under uncultured bacterium. RNAcentral's name for it is "partial 16S ribosomal RNA". It matches the Rfam family "Bacterial small subunit ribosomal RNA", at positions 524 to 776 of the family's 1533-position model. The record is from RNAcentral.